RNAcentral lists this ribosomal RNA (301 nucleotides) under uncultured bacterium. RNAcentral's name for it is "partial 16S ribosomal RNA". It matches the Rfam family "Bacterial small subunit ribosomal RNA", at positions 509 to 807 of the family's 1533-position model. The record is from RNAcentral.
CAGUCGCCACGGUAAUACGAGGGGGGCAAGCGUUGCUCGGAUUUAUUGGGCGUAAAGGGUGCGUAGGCGGUUUGGCAAGUCUUGUGUGAAAUCUAUGGGCUCAACCCAUAGCCUGCACGAGAAACUACCGGGCUUGAGUGAUGGAGAGGUGAGUGGAAUUUCCGGUGUAGCGGUGAAAUGCGUAGAUAUCGGAAGGAACACCUGUGGCGAAAGCGGCUCACUGGACACUAACUGACGCUGAUGCACGAAAGCUAGGGGAGCAAACAGGAUUAGAUACCCCAGUAGUCCCUGUCUCUUAUAC